UCUCCGUAGGUGAACCUGCGGAGGGAUCAUUGAAUCUCAUCACACACACACGCCCCCCACACACCCCUCCGUCAUGUCCCCCGGCCCCGGCUGCAACCGGCCGGGCCGGGCGCGCGUGUCCCCGGGACCGACGGAGCCGUCGAGAGACGGCGCCGGUCCGACGGGGUCGCGCGGAGUGGCCGCCGUCACGCGCGGCGACCGCCCGGACCAAAACCUCCCCAACCACACCCCACUCACACGACGCCUGAAGCCUGCGGGGCGGCCGGCCGCCCUCGCGCACAACCAACAGACAACUCUCAACAACGGAUAUCUUGGCUCCC
Molecule: unclassified non-coding RNA, 320 nt
Filed under: plant metagenome
Description: partial contains small subunit ribosomal RNA, internal transcribed spacer 1, and 5.8S ribosomal RNA
Source: RNAcentral